GUCUACAGCCAUACCACCCUGAACAUGCCCGAUCUCAUCUGAUCUUGGAAGCUAAGCAAGCCUGGUUAGUACUUGGAUGGGAGACAGAGACACCUGCAGCAC
RNAcentral lists this ribosomal RNA (102 nucleotides) under Erinaceus europaeus (western European hedgehog). Lineage: Eukaryota; Metazoa; Chordata; Mammalia; Eulipotyphla; Erinaceidae. The record is from RNAcentral.